Molecule: ribosomal RNA, 254 nt
Filed under: uncultured bacterium
Lineage: Bacteria
Description: partial 16S ribosomal RNA
Rfam family: Bacterial small subunit ribosomal RNA
Source: RNAcentral
UACGUAGGGUGCAAGCGUUUGUCCGGAAUUAUUGGGCGUAAAGAGCUCGUAGGCGGUCUGUCACGUCGGCUGUGAAAUCCCGCGGCUCAACUGCGGGUCUGCAGUCGAUACGGGCAGGCUAGAGUUCGGUAGGGGAGACUGGAAUUCCUGGUGUAGCGGUGAAAUGCGCAGAUAUCAGGAGGAACACCGAUGGCGAAGGCAGGUCUCUGGGCCGAUACUGACGCUGAGGAGCGAAAGCGUGGGGAGCGAACAGG